Molecule: unclassified non-coding RNA, 340 nt
Filed under: soil metagenome
Description: partial contains 5.8S ribosomal RNA, internal transcribed spacer 2, and large subunit ribosomal RNA
Rfam family: 5.8S ribosomal RNA (bases 1-121)
Source: RNAcentral
GAUGAAGAACCGCAGCGAAAUGCGAUAAGUAAUGUGAAUUGCAGAAUUCCGUGAAUCAUCGAAUCUUUGAACGCACAUUGCGCCCCCUGGUAUUCCGGGGGGCAUGCCUGUCCGAGCGUCAUUGCAACCCUCAAGCGCGGCUUGUGUGUUGGGCUUCGUCCCCCCGUGGACGUGCCCGAAAGGCAGUGGCGGCGUCCCGAAUGGUGCCCGAGCGUAUGGGAACUCUCUUCCGCUCGAACCGGCCCAUUCGGCGCUGGUCGAACCCCAAUUUUUUUUUACCGGUUGACCUCGGAUCAGGUAGGGAUACCCGCUGAACUUAAGCAUAUCAAUAAGCGGAGGA